RNAcentral lists this ribosomal RNA (253 nucleotides) under uncultured bacterium. RNAcentral's name for it is "partial 16S ribosomal RNA". It matches the Rfam family "Bacterial small subunit ribosomal RNA", at positions 524 to 776 of the family's 1533-position model. The record is from RNAcentral.
UACGUAGGUGGCGAGCGUUGUCCGGAUUUACUGGGCGUAAAGGGCGUGCAGGCGGUUUGUUAAGUGCAGGGUGAAAGCUCCCGGCUCAACUGGGAGAGGUCCUUGCAUACUGGCGAACUCGAGGGAGGCAGAGGAAAGUGGAAUUCCCGGUGUAGCGGUGAAAUGUGUAGAGAUCGGGAGGAACACCGGUGGCGAAGGCGGGUCUCUGGGCAGCUCCUGACGCUGAGGCGCGAAAGCGUGGGGAGCAAACGGG